GCGAACGCUGGCGGCAGGCCUAACACAUGCAAGUCGAACGAACUCUUCGGAGUUAGUGGCAGACGGGAUAGUAACACGUGGGAACGUGCCCUUUGGUUCGGAAUAACUCGGCGAAAGCCGUGCUAAUACCGGAUAAGCCCUUACGGGGAAAGAUUUAUCGCCAUUGGAGCGGCCCGCGUCUGAUUAGCUAGUUGGUGAGGUAAUGGCUCACCAAGGCGACGAUCAGUAGCUGGUCUGAGAGGAUGAUCAGCAUCACUGGGACUGAGACACGGCCCAGACUCCUACGGGAGGCAGCAGUGGGGAAUAUUGGACAAUGGGCGCAAGCCUGAUCCAGCCAUGCCGCGUGGAUGAUGAAGGCCUUAGGGUUGUAAAGUCCUUUUAACGGGGAAGAUAAUGACGGUACCCGUAGAAUAAGCCCCGGCUAACUUCGU
RNAcentral lists this ribosomal RNA (431 nucleotides) under uncultured bacterium. RNAcentral describes it as "bacterial SSU rRNA". It matches the Rfam family "Bacterial small subunit ribosomal RNA", at positions 29 to 506 of the family's 1533-position model. The record is from RNAcentral.